GACGUAGGAGGCGAGCGUUAUCCGGAUUCACUGGGCGUAAAGCGCAUGUAGGCGGUCGUCUAAGUCCGCGGUUAAAGCCCCCGGCUCAACUGGGGGAGGUCCGAGGAGACUAGUCGACUUGAGGGCAACAGAGGCACGUGGAACUCCCGGUGUAGCGGUGGAAUGCGUAGAGAUCGGGAAGAACACCAGUGGCGAAGGCGACGUGCUGGGUUGCACCUGACGCUGAGAUGCGAAAGUGUGGGGAGCAAACGGG
This 253-nucleotide ribosomal RNA is filed under the name uncultured prokaryote. Its description in RNAcentral is "partial 16S ribosomal RNA". It matches the Rfam family "Bacterial small subunit ribosomal RNA", at positions 524 to 776 of the family's 1533-position model. The record is from RNAcentral.